CAGAGGGGGCAAGCGUUGUUCGGAAUUACUGGGCGUAAAGGGCGCGUAGGCGGCCUUCUAAGUCAGACGUGAAAUCCCUCGGCUCAACCGGGGAACUGCGUCUGAGACUGGAAGGCUUGAAUCCGGGAGAGGGAUGUGGAAUUCCAGGUGUAGCGGUGAAAUGCGUAGAUAUCUGGAGGAACACCGGUGGCGAAGGCGGCAUCCUGGACCGGUAUUGACGCUGAGGCGCGAAAGCCAGGGGAGCAAACGGGAUUAGAUACCCCGGUAGUCCUGGCCCUAAACGAUGAAUGCUUGGUGUGGCGGGUAUCGAUCCCUGCCGUGCCGAAGCUAACGCAUUAAGCAUUCCGCCUGGGGAGUACGGUCGCAAGGCUG
Molecule: ribosomal RNA, 372 nt
Filed under: uncultured organism
Description: bacterial SSU rRNA
Rfam family: Bacterial small subunit ribosomal RNA
Source: RNAcentral